RNAcentral lists this ribosomal RNA (253 nucleotides) under uncultured bacterium. RNAcentral describes it as "partial 16S ribosomal RNA". It matches the Rfam family "Bacterial small subunit ribosomal RNA", at positions 524 to 776 of the family's 1533-position model. The record is from RNAcentral.
CACGUAGGGCGCAAGCGUUGUCCGGAAUUAUUGGGCGUAAAGAGCUCGUAGGCGGUCUGUUACGUCUGCUGUGAAAACCCGGGGCUUAACCCUGGGCUUGCAGUGGAUACGGGCAGACUAGAGGCAGGUAGGGGAGAAUGGAAUUCCCGGUGUAGUGGUGAAAUGCGUAGAUAUCGGGAGGAACACCAGUGGCGAAGGCGACUACCUGGCCUGUUCUUGACGCUGAGGCGCGAAAGCUAGGGGAGCAAACGGG